GGGCGGGCCCUCCCUGUAGUCAGGGCGAGGGUGCCGGCCCCCGGCCUUUGGCCGGCGUGCUCCCUGCCUGGCUGCUGCGAGUCAUUCCUGUGGCCCUGGGGGAAGGCUGAGCUCUCUGUCUGCCUGGGUGUCGUGGCCCUCCCUGUAGUCGGGGCGCGGGCCUGGAGCCCGCGUGCUCAGCUGGCAGCCGGUUUGGGGCGACCGCCCCGUUAGCGGGGCCCAGGUCAGAGUGCCCCUGCAUGGGAGAGAAGGAGCCUCCCUCCGCCGCGGGGCCCCGGGCUGCCCUGUAGCUCGGGGACUGGCCUGUGCCCUGGGGCCCCUGGCCUUAGGCAGUUGGGGCAGUGGCCCCGGCCCCCUGUAAGCAGGGCUGAAGCCUCCUGGGCCACCGCUCUCCAUGCCCAGCUCCAUUUGCCCAGAGUGCCCGCCUCUGACCCCCGCUGCAGCUUCAAUCAAGACCGCUGGACACCUCGUCAGCUGGAGGCCGUGCAGUGGGCAGCGGCUGCUGCUCACGGAGAAGCAAGAAGAGGAGUCGUGAGGAGCGGCGAGUCAAGAGUGAGCCUGAAGAGAGGAUGAGGAAGAUGGAAGAGAAAGCUCACAGAGAAGCAAGAAGAGGAGUCGUGAGGAGCGGCAAGUCAAGAGUGAGCCUGAAGAGAGGAUGAGGAAGAGAGAAGAGGAGGGAGGAGAAAGGCACUCCCUGCAAGCAGGGGCUGUGGUCACGUAAGAGCAUGGCUGGCACUACCAGGGUGGUAUUGUCAUUACUGGGGGCAGGUACUUGCUGAAUACUUUCAGCCUGUCCACGGAGGAGGCAGCUGGAGGACCUCCGAUGCCGGAGGAGCCGUCUCCUCUUCUCCUGGAGCAGCUCCUGGAUCUGCCCCUUUCCCAGUUACUCAAGAAAAUGCUUUGUCAAGAUGUAGGUUACACCCUGGGCACCUUUCACACCCAACUCUGCUGUAACUCGUGCCAGGACAAUUGCACUGCACAGGCGGUCUUGACUUUGCCCCAGCUGUUGGAGGUUUUGCUGUUGUCAGGCUGGUGUGUGUUUGUCCUUGGUAGUUCCAAGGGGGAUCUCAGGCUUCUAGGUAGCAGUGCGGUGGUACCGCAGGGGUGUUGUAGGUGUGCGGUGGUACUGCAGGGGUGUUGUGGUAGGGUGUUGUGGUAGGUGUGCGGUGGUACUGCAGGGGUGUUGUGGAGCUGUUGUGGUAGGCGUGCGGUGGUACUGCACGGCUGUUGUGGUAGGGUGUUGUGGUAGGCGUGCGGUGGUACCGCACGGCUGUUGUGGUAGGUGUGCGGUGGUACUGCAGGGGUGUUGUGGAGGUGUUGUGGUAGGCGUGUGGUGGUACUGCAGUGCCGUAGGAGGAUUUCUUUUGGCUUGUCCGUGGCCUGCGGCAGCAGGGCACAGUGUUUAGCGUGAGGGGAUGAGGAUGCGCGAGCUGUCGCGGCCUGUUUAGUGCAGAGUAGGGGGCAGAGGGGAGGUCGCCUGUGCGGUGCAAUUGGACGGGGGUGCAGAGUUGCUCUGAGUGGGGUGUCGAAAGCGGCCCAGCCCCAGGCCCCCUCCCUGGCUCCUCCAGCCCUGUGCCUGUGCCUGUGCCUGUGCCUGUGCCUGUGCCUGUGCCUGGCGGGGCUCAGGACGGCCCUGCGUAGCCCAUGCGGUGCCACCGCUCCAGCGCCAAGCUGCCAGCUUGCACCUCUCUGCCCUCCGGAGCCAGUGUAGCCAUUGCAGGAAACGGAGCUGAAACUUCCGCUAAACAGCUCCUGCCCUCUUCUCUGCCCAGAGUCAACGGGGGUAACCGUCCCGCUCUGUCUUCUUCCCCAAAUUCAACACACAGGCCCUUUCAAGAGAUGGUAUUGUAAAUUAUUGACCUAAAAUGCCUUAUUCUUAUCAUGCCAUGUUAAUGUAAUUAAAGUUCAGGAAGAUGCUGGAGCUUGUCUGAGCUAAGCCCCCCCACGGUGCAACGCACCUGUGUGGUGAAACAGCUGCCGUGUGGGGACCUUGGAGCGUUUUUUGGCCAUGCCUCAACUCCUGCUGUAGUUUAAAAAAAAUAAAGCCUUUCUGUGCAAGAAGUCUCUGUCCUGUCUGUGCCUCAACUAGAAGACAUGAAGUAAGGCUGUAUGUUCACUGUCCUGUCUGUGCCUAUAGCAGAAAAAAUGAAAUUAAAGGGUAUUUUCACUGUCUUGUCUGUGCGCAAAGCAGAAACAAUGAAAUUAAAGGGUGUUUUCACUGUCUGGUCUGUGUGCAAAGCAGAAACAAUGAAAUUAAAGGGUGUUUUCACUGUCCUGUCUGUGUAAACCAGAAAAAAAAGAAAGAAGGUUGUGUUCCCUGUCCCAUGUAGUUGUAAAGCAAGAAAAAGAAAGAAAAUGGUGUUUUUCCCUGUCCCCUGUAUCUGUGUAAAGCAGAAAAAAGAAAAAGAAAUAAAAUGGUGUUUCUCCCUGUUGCAUGUCUGUGUAAAGCAGAAAAAAGAAAAGGAAAGAAAAUAUGUUUUUCCUUGUCACAUGCAUGUGUAAAGCAAGAAAAAGAAAUAAAGUGUUGUUUCUCCCUGUCUCAUGUAUGUGUAAAGCAGGAAAAAGAAAAAGAAAGAAAAUGGUGUUUUUUCCCUCUCUCACGUAUGUGUAAAGCAGGAACAAGAAAUAAAGUGUUUUUUUUCCCUGUCCCCUGUUCAUGUAAAGCAGAAAAAAGAAAGAAAAUGGUGUUUCUCCCUGUCACAUGUCUGUAUAAAGCAGAAAAAAAGAAAGAAAAUAUGUUUUUCCUUGUCACAUGUAUGUGUAAAGCCAGAAGUAGAAAUAAAAUGGUCCUUUUCCCUGUCUCAGUUAUGUGUAAAGCCAGAAGAAGAAAUAAAGUGUGUUUUUCCCUGUCUCAUGUCUGUGUAAAGCAGAAAAAAAUAAAAUGGUGUUUUUCCCUGUGUCAUGUAUGUGUAGAGGAGAAAAAAGAACAAGAAAGAAAACGGUGUUU
Dromaius novaehollandiae (emu) is the source of this 2947-nucleotide long non-coding RNA. RefSeq lists it as uncharacterized. The transcript has 3 exons. The record is from RefSeq and is a predicted model, not a curated record. NCBI's taxonomy places the organism in Eukaryota, Metazoa, Chordata, Aves, Casuariiformes, Dromaiidae.